AGGACGAACGCUGGCGGCGUGCCUAACACAUGCAAGUCGAGCGAGGAGAUUCCUUCGGGAUGAUCCUAGCGGCGGACGGGUGAGUAACACGUGGGCAACCUGCCUCAUAGAGAGGAAUAGCCUUCCGAAAGGGAGAUUAAUACCUCAUAACAUUGCAGUUUCGCAUGGAACAGCAAUUAAAGGAGCAAUCCGCUAUGAGAUGGGCCCGCGGCGCAUUAGCUAGUUGGUGAGGUAACGGCUCACCAAGGCGACGAUGCGUAGCCGACCUGAGAGGGUGAUCGGCCACAUUGGGACUGAGACACGGCCCAGACUCCUACGGGAGGCAGCAGUGGGGAAUAUUGCACAAUGGGGGAAACCCUGAUGCAGCAACGCCGCGUGAGUGAUGACGGCCUUCGGGUUGUAAAGCUCUGUCUUCAGGGACGAUAAUGACGGUACCUGAGGAGGAAGCCACGGCUAACUACGUGCCAGCCGCGGC
Molecule: ribosomal RNA, 475 nt
Filed under: uncultured bacterium
Lineage: Bacteria
Description: bacterial SSU rRNA
Rfam family: Bacterial small subunit ribosomal RNA
Source: RNAcentral